Lachnobacterium bovis DSM 14045 is the source of this 71-nucleotide transfer RNA. It matches the Rfam family "tRNA". Rfam says of the family: Transfer RNA (tRNA) molecules are approximately 80 nucleotides in length. Their secondary structure includes four short double-helical elements and three loops (D, anti-codon, and T loops). Further hydrogen bonds mediate the characteristic L-shaped molecular structure. tRNAs have two regions of fundamental functional importance: the anti-codon, which is responsible for specific mRNA codon recognition, and the 3' end, to which the tRNAs corresponding amino acid is attached (by aminoacyl-tRNA synthetases). tRNAs cope with the degeneracy of the genetic code in two manners: having more than one tRNA (with a specific anti-codon) for a particular amino acid; and 'wobble' base-pairing, i.e. permitting non-standard base-pairing at the 3rd anti-codon position. Lineage: Bacteria; Bacillati; Bacillota; Clostridia; Lachnospirales; Lachnospiraceae. The record is from Rfam.
GGUGACUUAGCCAAGUGGUAAGGCGUGGGUCUGCAACACCCUGAUCGCCGGUUCAAAUCCGGCAGUCACCU